GUUGAACGCUGGCGGCAGGCCUAACACAUGCAAGUCGAGCGGAUGAAGGGAGCUUGCUCCUGGAUUCAGCGGCGGACGGGUGAGUAAUGCCUAGGAAUCUGCCUGGUAGUGGGGGAUAACGUCCGGAAACGGGCGCUAAUACCGCAUACGUCCUGAGGGAGAAAGUGGGGGAUCUUCGGACCUCACGCUAUCAGAUGAGCCUAGGUCGGAUUAGCUAGUUGGUGGGGUAAAGGCCUACCGAGGCGACGAUCCGUAACUGGUCUGAGAGGAUGAUCAGUCACACUGGAACUGAGACACGGUCCAGACUCCUACGGGAGGCAGCAGUGGGGAAUAUUGGACAAUGGGCGAAAGCCUGAUCCAGCCAUGCCGCGUGUGUGAAGAAGGUCUUCGGAUUGUAAAGCACUUUAAGUUGGGAGGAAGGGCAGUAAGUUAAUACCUUGCUGUUUUGACGUUACCAACAGAAUAAGCACCGGCUAACUUCGUG
RNAcentral lists this ribosomal RNA (484 nucleotides) under uncultured bacterium. Its description in RNAcentral is "partial 16S ribosomal RNA". It matches the Rfam family "Bacterial small subunit ribosomal RNA", at positions 28 to 507 of the family's 1533-position model. The record is from RNAcentral.